Molecule: ribosomal RNA, 367 nt
Filed under: uncultured organism
Description: bacterial LSU rRNA
Rfam family: Bacterial large subunit ribosomal RNA
Source: RNAcentral
CUUUACUGUAACUUGAAAUUGAAAUUGGACUUUACUUGCGCAGUAUAGGUGGGAGGCGUUGAGUUUAUUCUUGCGGGAAUUUAGGAGCCAUCAGUGAGAUACCACUCUGGUAAUGUUAGAUUUCUAACUUUGUAUCAUAAUCUGGUCAAAGGACAGUUUCAGGCGGGCAGUUUGACUGGGGCGGUCGCCUCCUAAAUGGUAACGGAGGCGUACAAAGGUUUCCUCUGAACGUGUAGAAAUCGUAUCUAGAGUAUAAAGGCAUAAGGAAGCUUGACUGUGAGACUUACAAGUCGAGCAGGGACGAAAGUCGGUCUUAGUGAUCUGACGGCACUGAGUGGAAGGGCCGUCGCUAAACGGAUAAAAGUUA